Molecule: long non-coding RNA, 1866 nt
Organism: Colias croceus (clouded yellow)
Lineage: Eukaryota; Metazoa; Arthropoda; Insecta; Lepidoptera; Pieridae
Exons: 2
Source: RefSeq, a predicted model, not a curated record
UACCCAUGGUGGUCGUCAGCGGUGUAGUCAACCUUGCGGACGGAACCGUCGGGUUCAACCAGAGAGUAGGAUCCGUGGACAGCACCACCGUCGCGGCUCUCGUGCUGGGACUUGUGGUCGCCGGUGUGGGGGUCAGCGACGGAGUAAGAGUAGUCGUAUCUUGGGUGAGACUGCAAAAUCAAUAAAUUAGCAUGUACUGGGGCAGCAUGGACGGCAUGGACGAUGGGAGCGUGUACGACGGGAGCGUGAACUACGGGGGCGGCGUGAACCACUGGGGCGGCAUAGUACGAAGCUCCGUAGUGUACGGGGGUGUCAUGGCGGACGAUGCUCUGGGAGGACACGGCUCCAUGGUGCACUGGAAGGAAGCCAGCGUUGACGGCUGCCAACACGGCGCUUAUAGCGACAAUCUGUAAAACAAACGACGAAUUAGAAUAUUGAUAUCCUGCACCUUUUGUAAUCUUUAACGAAAAAAUAACUUAAAGGGUUAAAGUUAGUUCUAAAGGCUUACUUUGGAGAACAUUUUGCUGUACUAAUCAGAGCAGGUGACUGAUAUCAUUAUCGUGGUCGCCUGGACUUUUAUAUGAAAUCCAAAACCAACUGGACAGCCCUAGUGGUGGGGUGUACGGUCAGUGAGUUCCGUAAGUUUGACACAGCGAGGUCAUAUGUUUCGCGCCUUCGAUAAUAGGCCUCCUUCCUCAAUCUUGUCAUUUGCGCCCUGCAGCCACGACUAUGUGUACGAACCACAAGCUCUGUUAUUUGACAUUCGAGCUUUGAUAUAUUACGAUUUGAUAGAACAGCCAGAUCAUGUAUUAUAGUUUCAGUUAAAUCAAAUAGCAUUCUGAUGUAAAUGGAAGUAAUAUCACUAAAAAUAUUUUUACCGGGAAAAUGUACACGCAUCAGUGAUAAAGGAUGUUUUUUAAUUCAAAACAGUUUAAUAUUUCGAUAUACAUGACUUUUAAAAAUAUAAAGGUUACAUUUGAAAAAAAUUGGCUUAUCUAAAUAAUCCAUACCAAUGUCGUUAAAUCGAAAAAAUAUCCUGAAAUAGUGUAGUAAGUUUUGCGUAAUCGCAAAUUGUUCAAAAUUUUGACAAAUACGUAAAUUAUAUCGAUAAUUGCAGAUAAAAUUAUGGGUGUAAUAAAUUUCUUUAAGUGUACCACGUAACGUAAUCGAAAUAAAUUAAAUUUUGUUUUUGGUUCAAAAAACCUUUUAAGUAAUAAAUAUCGGGAAAAGGCAAACAAUUCUUAAAUUUCACGGAUACUAUGCAUAUUAGAAACAAAAAACAAUAUUUUGUUAACAAUUCUAAAAAAACAUUAUUGUGCAAUGCAUACUUAUCCUAAUCUGUAUAACAUUGUCCGAAUCUAAAAUAUUACGGACAUAGAGUGAUAGAUAACAUUCUCCCGAUAAAAACAUUGUCAGUGGGUCAAAUAUUACUUCAAGGCUAUCCAAAAAUUAGCAAUCAAUUAAAGGCGUCAACCCACUGAUACGAAGCGGUAAAAUCGAUCUCAUUAUUGCAUUAUGCGUUACAAAACUGAAUAUCGUGUGCACUUUAUAAACCACAUGGGGGUCACUUAUCUAAAAUUGUCAGGUAUUUGGUUUCCUAACUACGUUCGUAAUGCGAUCAUAAGGGUCGAUAUAACUAAUUGUGUAAUGAACUUAUUGAAAUAAUGAAAAAAACCAUUGUUUAGACACGCCUUGACUCAGUAACCCUGUGUCGACAUCUACUCUAAUGUUUUUCUGAGUGAAUGGUAUGUGUGGACAUAAAUCUGAUAGAAAACGAACUACUUAAUAAGCAUGUAAAUAUAGUUCAAUUAUGCAUCUAAGUUUGUAAAUUGAGAUCGUAAUUAUACACCUAUUUUUAUUAAUUUA